AACGAACGCUGGCGGCAUGCCUAACACAUGCAAGUCGAACGAGACCUUCGGGUCUAGUGGCGCGCGGGUGCGUAACACGUGGGAAUUUGCCUCGGGGUAUGGAAUAACUCAGGGAAACUUGAGCUAAUACCAUAUAAUGUCUUCGGACCAAAGAUUUAUCGCCCUGAGAUAAGCCCGCGUAGGAUUAGCUAGUUGUGGGGUAAAGGCUCACCAAGGCGACGAUCCUUAGCUGGUCUGAGAGGAUGAUCAGCCACACUGGGACUGAGACACGGCCCAGACUCCUACGGGAGGCAGCAGUGGGGAAUAUUGGACAAUGGGCGAAAGCCUGAUCCAGCAAUGCCGCGUGAGUGAUGAAGGCC
Molecule: ribosomal RNA, 359 nt
Filed under: uncultured bacterium
Lineage: Bacteria
Description: bacterial SSU rRNA
Rfam family: Bacterial small subunit ribosomal RNA
Source: RNAcentral